GUGCUCGCUUCGGCAGCACAUAUACUAAAAUUGGAACGAUACAGAGAAGAUUAGCAUGGCCCCUGCGCAAGGAGUAAAAGCACCUGUGUGCAAGUAUUUUU
This is a small nuclear RNA of Tupaia belangeri (northern tree shrew), 101 nucleotides long. The record is from Ensembl. NCBI's taxonomy places the organism in Eukaryota, Metazoa, Chordata, Mammalia, Scandentia, Tupaiidae.